This 484-nucleotide ribosomal RNA is filed under the name uncultured bacterium. RNAcentral's name for it is "partial 16S ribosomal RNA". It matches the Rfam family "Bacterial small subunit ribosomal RNA", at positions 30 to 507 of the family's 1533-position model. The record is from RNAcentral.
AUUGAACGCUGGCGGCAUGCCUAACACAUGCAAGUCGAACGAUGAUUAAGAGCUUGCUCUUAUGAUUAGUGGCGGACGGGUGAGUAAUGUAUAGGGAUCUGCCUGUUAGUGGGGGACAACAGCCGGAAACGGCUGCUAAUACCGCAUACGCUCUACGGAUGAAAGUGGGGGACCCUCGGGCCUCACGCUAACAGAUGAACCUAUAUUGGAUUAGCUAGUUGGUAGGGUAAAGGCCUACCAAGGCGACGAUCCAUAGCUGGUUUGAGAGAAUGAUCAGCCACACUGGGACUGAGACACGGCCCAGACUCCUACGGGAGGCAGCAGUGGGGAAUAUUGGACAAUGGGCGCAAGCCUGAUCCAGCAAUGCCGCGUGUGUGAAGAAGGCCUUCGGGUUGUAAAGCACUUUAAGUUGGGAGGAAAAGCUGAGGGUUAAUAGCCUUUAGUGUUGACGUUACCAACAGAAUAAGCACCGGCUAACUCCGUG